This 852-nucleotide ribosomal RNA is filed under the name Triticum aestivum (bread wheat). Its description in RNAcentral is "partial small subunit ribosomal RNA". Lineage: Eukaryota; Viridiplantae; Streptophyta; Magnoliopsida; Poales; Poaceae. The record is from RNAcentral.
AUGGAGGGAUACCUUGGCCCCGUCGUCGCCCAGCUCACCGGCCUUGGCCUUUCGCGUUCUCAGAUCGCGCGCCUCGCCUCCUACUGCCACAGCAACUUACAUCUCACAUCCAUCGUCUCCAAGCUGCGGUACUACCUGCUCCUCUUUGGUUCCAUCGACAACACCCUCCAAGCUCUCAAUCGCAACUUCUACCUUAUCACAUCUGACCUCGACAGGGUGGUCAAGCCCAACGUCGCGGCCCUGUGGGACUCGGGGCUGGGUGAUUGUGACAUUGUCAAGUUGUGCAUCCCUAAUCCAUGGCUGCUCACCACCAAUGUAGAAUCCAUCCGGGCAAUGGUGUCAUGUGCUGAAAGUCUUGGUGUGCCCCGUGGAUCUCGCAUGUUCAUAUAUGCAGUGCGUGCUGUUGCGUUCCUCAGCGAGGAGAAGAUUGCCACCAAAGUGGUGUAUUUGAAGGAAACCUUUAGGUGGUCAGAUGCUCAAGUCGGCAUUGUUGUGUCCAAGUUUCCAAUCCUUCUGACGAGGUCUAAGGACUCUCUGCGGAGCAGGUCAGAGUUCCUCAUCUCUAAGGUGGGUCUGGAACCGGCAUACAUUGCUCAUCGUCCGAUAUUGCUCUCUUACAGCCUGGAGGGCCGGCUCAGGCCCCGGUACUACGUUGUGAAGUUUCUCAAGGAAAAUGAAUUGCUAGAUCGUGGCAGGGACUACUAUAAAACACUCUUUAUCAGCGAGAAGGUGUUCAUGGAGAAGUUCAUAUGCCCUCACAAGGAAGCAGCACCCCACCUUGCUGAUGACUAUGUCGAUGCUUGUAGAGGGGAAGUACCCACUAGAUCAGAUUUGGGGUUUAGGGUUGCAUGA